Molecule: long non-coding RNA, 1121 nt
Organism: Macrosteles quadrilineatus (aster leafhopper)
Lineage: Eukaryota; Metazoa; Arthropoda; Insecta; Hemiptera; Cicadellidae
Exons: 6
Source: RefSeq, a predicted model, not a curated record
AAUCUUAAUCACCAUCAUUUUGAUUUCAUAUUUUAUUUAUUGCUAAUGGAUUUACAACAAUUUUACAGUAUAAUUACUUGUGUAUUGUGAGAAGCCAUUACGACUAGCCUACAUUUUAAAAUUGCAAUGGAUCGGAUCUUGCUAGAUGGAUUAUGGAAUUUGGGAAAGAAGGUUACCAUACUGGCGGACUGGUACCGGAAUAAAAAUAAGACCAAUGGCUAACUUACAUGUGAGGUGCUGUGUCCUCAUGGGCUAAUUUUGAGUGGCCUAACACCAAAGCUCUUAAUAACUUAACUCCAUCAAAGUAGCAAGUUUGGUAGCCUAAUGGGUGUUGUCCGAGCCCACGCAGCACUAGGUGAUGGUCUUGCACUGUUUGGAACUGGUUGUCUCCAUACGUGGCCUUCUGUUGUAGAAGAUGUGAUCACCUGUUUCCUAGACCCAACUCCUGUUGAUACUCAACAGUUGAUGGACGAUAGUUGCUACAGGCUCCGUACCUACCCUGGGUGCUGCUGGGAUUCUCAGUUCUGCUGUACAACACUAUCUGGGUGGACCUUAUGGGGAUGAUUGUUGGACAUUGCUACUACUACUUAGAGGAUGUCUUUUCCUACCGAAACGGAGGUCUUAGAAUUAUCAAACUUCUAAAAUCUUGUGUUGCAUGGACUUCCUUCAAAAGUUCAAAGAUCUCCAACCACACUCGGAGUUAUGACAGAGUUCGUCUCAUCGCAGAUAUGAAUAUUGUACAGAGUUUGUUGCAGCUGGUACAGCUUUCCUCGUUUAAGGAUUUUGUCCCCUACUUUACAGCCUUUAUUGGCUCUGUAAUCUGUGCUGCCAUGCAAGAGGCAAGUGAAAAUCGAAUAGACCUACUUCAGAAAACAAUGGCCCAACUUUUGAGCUUCUUGGUGGAGGCAAGCCAAAAUACUCCAGGUAUUCCAAACUCUACAUUACGGUAUCUUACUUUUAUUUCAAUGGGGUUUUUCAUUCCCAUCCUGAUUGUGGGAUGAGAACGGGAUGAAAUUUGUUUUCCAGUGAAUCAAGGAAAUCUUAAGAUGGUUUUUAGCCCUAUAUUGAUAAUGAGGUUUAUUGAUGAAUAACAUUAACUCAUGUUUUUAUGUUGUAAUCUA